This 240-nucleotide ribosomal RNA is filed under the name uncultured bacterium. Its description in RNAcentral is "partial 16S ribosomal RNA". It matches the Rfam family "Bacterial small subunit ribosomal RNA", at positions 1133 to 1372 of the family's 1533-position model. The record is from RNAcentral.
GGGCACUCUGCGGAGACUGCCGGUGAUAAACCGGAGGAAGGUGGGGAUGACGUCAAGUCAGCAUGGCCUUUAUGUCUGGGGCUACACACGUGCUACAAUGGCCGGUACAAACCGUCGCGAUCUCGCGAGAGGGAGCUAAUCGGAGAAAGCCGGUCUCAGUUCGGAUUGCAGGCUGCAACUCGCCUGCAUGAAGUUGGAAUCGCUAGUAAUCGCGGAUCASCACGCCGCGGUGAAUACGUU